ACACAUGCAAGUCGAGGGGCAGCAUAAUGGAUAGCAAUAUCUAUGGUGGCGACCGGCGCACGGGUGCGUAACGCGUAUGCAACCUACCUUUAACAGGGGGAUAACACUGAGAAAUUGGUACUAAUACCCCAUAAUAUCAUAGAAGGCAUCUUUUAUGGUUGAAAAUUCCGAUGGUUAGAGAUGGGCAUGCGUUGUAUUAGCUAGUUGGUGGGGUAACGGCUCACCAAGGCGACGAUACAUAGGGGGACUGAGAGGUUAACCCCCCACACUGGUACUGAGACACGGACCAGACUCCUACGGGAGGCAGCAGUGAGGAAUAUUGGUCAAUGGACGCAAGUCUGAACCAGCCAUGCCGCGUGCAGAAUGACGGCUCUAUGAGUUGUAAACUGCUUUUGUACGAGGGUAAACGCAGAUACGUGUAUCUGUCUGAAAGUAUCGUACGAAUAAGGAUCGGCUAACUCCGUGCCAGCAGCCGCGGUAAUACGGAGGAUUCAAGCGUUAUCCGGAUUUAUUGGGUUUAAAGGGUGCGUAGGCGGUUUGAUAAGUUAGAGGUGAAAUUUCGGGGCUCAACCCUGAACGUGCCUCUAAUACUGUUGAGCUAGAGAGUAGUUGCGGUAGGCGGAAUGUAUGGUGUAGCGGUGAAAUGCUUAGAGAUCAUACAGAACACCGAUUGCGAAGGCAGCUUACCAAACUAUAUCUGACGUUGAGGCACGAAAGCGUGGGGAGCAAACAGGAUUAGAUACCCUGGUAGUCCACGCAGUAAACGAUGAUAACUCGUU
This 779-nucleotide ribosomal RNA is filed under the name uncultured bacterium. RNAcentral describes it as "bacterial SSU rRNA". It matches the Rfam family "Bacterial small subunit ribosomal RNA", at positions 51 to 821 of the family's 1533-position model. The record is from RNAcentral.